RNAcentral lists this ribosomal RNA (523 nucleotides) under uncultured Methylibium sp. Its description in RNAcentral is "bacterial SSU rRNA". It matches the Rfam family "Bacterial small subunit ribosomal RNA", at positions 8 to 526 of the family's 1533-position model. Lineage: Bacteria; Pseudomonadati; Pseudomonadota; Betaproteobacteria; Burkholderiales; Sphaerotilaceae. The record is from RNAcentral.
AGAGUUUGAUCCUGGCUCAGAUUGAACGCUGGCGGCAUGCCUUACACAUGCAAGUCGAACGGCAGCACGGGAGCAAUCCAGGUGGCGAGUGGCGAACGGGUGAGUAAUACAUCGGAACGUGCCCAGUAGUGGGGGAUAACCCGGCGAAAGCCGGACUAAUACCGCAUACGACCUACGGGUGAAAGCAGGGGAUCGCAAGACCUUGCGCUAUCGGAGCGGCCGAUGUCAGAUUAGCUUGUUGGCGGGGUAAAAGCCCACCAAGGCGACGAUCUGUAGCUGGUCUGAGAGGACGACCAGCCACACUGGGACUGAGACACGGCCCAGACUCCUACGGGAGGCAGCAGUGGGGAAUUUUGGACAAUGGGCGCAAGCCUGAUCCAGCCAUGCCGCGUGCGGGAAGAAGGCCUUCGGGUUGUAAACCGCUUUUGUCAGGGAAAAAACGCUCCGGGCUAAUACCUCGGAGUAAUGACGGUACCUGAAGAAUAAGCACCGGCUAACUACGUGCCAGCAGCCGCGGUAAUAC